GCCGCGGUAGCUCAAUUGGUUAGAGCAUCGCACAUGUAAUGUGAAUACGUGGGUUCGAAUCUCACCUGUGGCC
Molecule: transfer RNA, 73 nt
Filed under: Dermacentor andersoni
Lineage: Eukaryota; Metazoa; Arthropoda; Arachnida; Ixodida; Ixodidae
Description: transfer RNA threonine (anticodon UGU)
Rfam family: tRNA
About the family: Transfer RNA (tRNA) molecules are approximately 80 nucleotides in length. Their secondary structure includes four short double-helical elements and three loops (D, anti-codon, and T loops).
Source: RNAcentral